Long non-coding RNA from Felis catus (domestic cat), 1239 nucleotides. RefSeq lists it as uncharacterized. The transcript is spliced from 3 exons. Lineage: Eukaryota; Metazoa; Chordata; Mammalia; Carnivora; Felidae. The record is from RefSeq and is a predicted model, not a curated record.
UUUCAGAAACACCAGCCAGAAAAGGACAACCCUCGGCAAAUCCUACAAACCCUCCCCACUUGCAAGGAUUCACACGGAUCCCACAACUUUUCAGCCUUCCGUGACUUUUACCACUCUUCUGGAGCUAACCACUUUUAAUGACCCCCCCCCCCCCCCCCCCCAGGAACAAUCACUCUUCUUCUCAGCUUUACACUUUGUCCCGGCAGCAAUCGGCUGAGCCGUCCCCCGUCUCCGGCCAGCUCCGACGACCAUAGACUCCUUCACCCGUUUGCUACCCGUCGGGACCCCGAAAGCUCCGGUUCCUGUCCCAAUUCCCUGAGCCAGCCGCCCCCAAGCCUCCCUCAACCCCCAAAUCCCGGGCAAAACAUCACCGGGUUCCCCGUUGUCCUACGCGCUCCGGAUCCGCGCGGGGUACACGUCGCCCCUUCCCCCCCGGAACCCGCUCUCCCGACCCUAACCCCUCCCUGAGGCAGGGGGGUGGGGAGGGCAAAGCUCUCCGCGGCUGGACUGAGACUCGGGAGGCCAAGCGUCCCCCUCAGCAGGCCCCGCCUGGGCCUCUCGGCUCGGCUGCCCUCCACUGCCCCCCUGGCCCCGCCGUGCUUAUGCCGAAGAGCAGGGCAACACGAGCCCAAGGCUCGGCACUUACUCGGGAAGAGUUUCCACCUGCUAAGACUCCUUAAUGACUGACCAAAACUGAGACUGGACUGUGAGCACCUGAGGGCUUUCCUGUGGAGCUCGGAGGGGAGUGGCGCAAAGGACUUUUCUUACAAGCCGAGCCCACGUGGGACGAUUGCCAGCAGCUUUUGCAGGUCCUGUUCAAGACUGAGGAAAGAGAAAAAAUCCUCAAUGAAGCCCGAAAACUAGUUCCGGGCGCAGACGGGAAUCCCACCACCAACCAGGCUCAGAUAGAUGCCUCCUUCCCCCUAACUCGGCCCAAGUGGGAUUUCAACACAGCAGAAGGUAAGGAGAGGCUCCAGGUCUACUGCCAGACUCUAAUGGGGGGGACUCCGAAUGGCUGCUAGGAAGCCAACGAGUUUGGCCAAGGUAGGAAAUGUGCAACAGGAAAAAGAUGAAUCUCCAGCUGCAUUUUUAGAACGGAUCAUGGAGGCUUUCCGUACCUAUACCCCCAUGGAUCCAGAGGCUCCAGAAAGCAAGGCAGCUGUUAUCAUGGCCUUUGUAAACCAAUCGGCCAUAGACAUUAGGAGAAAAUUACAGAAAAUAGAUAAACUAGGAGAAAAA